UACGUAGGGUGCAAGCGUUGUCCGGAAUUAUUGGGCGUAAAGAGCUCGUAGGCGGUUUGUCGCGUCUGCUGUGAAAACGCGAGGCUCAACCUCGCGCCUGCAGUGGGUACGGGCAGACUAGAGUGCGGUAGGGGAGAUUGGAAUCCCUGGUGUAGCGGUGGAAUGCGCAGAUAUCAGGAGGAACACCGAUGGCGAAGGCAGAUCUCUGGGCCGUAACUGACGCUGAGGAGCGAAAGCGUGGGGAGCGAACAGG
Molecule: ribosomal RNA, 253 nt
Filed under: uncultured bacterium
Lineage: Bacteria
Description: partial 16S ribosomal RNA
Rfam family: Bacterial small subunit ribosomal RNA
Source: RNAcentral